RNAcentral lists this microRNA precursor (76 nucleotides) under Myotis lucifugus (little brown bat). Its description in RNAcentral is "mir-9229 microRNA precursor family". It matches the Rfam family "mir-9229 microRNA precursor family". The record is from Rfam by way of RNAcentral. Lineage: Eukaryota; Metazoa; Chordata; Mammalia; Chiroptera; Vespertilionidae.
GAGACACCCUUCUGGGGCAAGACUUGUUUCAGUGGGGCUUUGGUGCUCACUGAGUCUGCCCCCUGAGAGUGACCUU